This 497-nucleotide ribosomal RNA is filed under the name uncultured bacterium. Its description in RNAcentral is "partial 16S ribosomal RNA". It matches the Rfam family "Bacterial small subunit ribosomal RNA", at positions 28 to 507 of the family's 1533-position model. The record is from RNAcentral.
GAUGAACGCUGGCGGCGUGCCUAACACAUGCAAGUCGAGCGAACGCACGAUAAGAUUGCUCCCCUGAUGUUAGCGGCGGACGGGCGAGUAAGACGUGGAUAACCAUCUUAUAAUACUGGGAUAACUUCGGGAAAACGGAGCUAAUACCGCAGGAUAUGUUCAACCGCUUGGUUCAAGAGUGCAAGACGGUCUUGCUGUCUCUAAUAGAUGGAGCCGCGCUGGAUUAGUUAGUUGGUAAGGUAACGGCCUACCAAGGCAACGAUGCAUAGCCGACCUGAGAGAGUGAUCGGCCACACUGGAACUGAGACACGGUCCAGACUCCUACGGGAGGCAGCAGUGGGGAAUAUUCGGCAAUGGGCGAAAGCCUGACCCAGCCACGCCGCGUGGGUGAAGAAGGCCUUCGGGUUGUAAAGCCCUGUUGUUGGGGAAGAAAAGCUGUGGGAGAAACUGCCGACAUCCUGACGGUACCCAAACAAAAAGCCACGGCUAACUUCGUG